CCUCUGCCUCCCAAGUAGCUGAGACUACGGGUGUGCGCCACCACCUGGCUAAUUUUUGUGUUUUUGUAGAGACGGGGUUUUACCAUGUUGGCCAGGCUGGUCUCAAACUUCUGAGCUCAAGUAAUCUGCCUGCCUCAGUGUCCCAAAGUGCUGGGAUUACAGGCAUGAGCCACCGCACCCACCUUACAGCCUUUUUUCUUUCCUGAUUCGAGAUUUAAUAUGAUCAUUUCUUUCAUUUAGUGCCAUGUCUGUAUUUUAAAGUUAGGUUUGUUGUUGUUUUUCUGGCCUUCACAUUGCUUUUUAAUUCAGACUCACUUAACAUAGUAGUACUGUUUUUUGACUCUAGAAGUACAGUGAAUAUGACUGUUAUCAACUCUCUGUUCCUCAAAGCCACAUCUGAAAUCAACUUUGAAAAACAAUUAUAUUUUCGUAGCUUUGAGUAUGGAAAACAAAUUACUGUUUGCCCUAUAUUAUCUUUACAAGGCAAAUUCAGUCAAGCUUUAAAAACUACUGGAUUAUACAUUUGUAGUCUAUAUCAUAAUCUUAAAUAGAUAUUCUUAGUGUGAGAAUGCUUUAUGUUUAAAGAACCUAAACUUUACAAUGAAAUUGUUUAAAUUUUAUCACGUCAGUAUUUUUGCUGGUGCUCCAGUGCUUUCUGGAUUUAAGCUGAAUCUCAAAAGAUCUGUCAUUUUAAAAAGAACACUAAAACAUAGACUUUAUAGGAAGGCCUAUAAGGUUAAAUUCAUAUAUCUCAGAUAUACGAAAAGUUUUGACAUAUGUCUAAAUAGAGAAUUUUUACUACCGUGAUAUCUCGUAAUUUUUUUUUUUAUUUCCAGUGUGUGCCAUAUUUAAUUGCUAUGGGCACAGACCCAGAACCUGCUAUGCGGAACAAGGCUGAUCAGCAACUUGUGGAAAUAGACAAAAAAUAUGCUGGAUUCAUUCAUAUGAAAGCAGUGGCUGGUAUGAAGAUGUCUUACCAGGUACAACAGGCAAUCAACACAUGCCUAAAAGAUCCUGUAAGGGGUUUCAGACAAGACGAGUCCUCUAGCGCUUUGUGUUCACACCUUUACUCCAUGAUCCGUGGAAACCGCCAACACAGACGAGCCUUUCUUAUUUCUUUACUCAACCUCUUUGAUGACACAGCAAAAACAGACGUGACUAUGCUCUUGUAUAUAGCAGACAAUCUAGCCUGUUUUCCAUACCAGACACAGGAAGAGCCGUUGUUUAUAAUGCAUCAUAUAGACAUUACACUCUCAGUUUCUGGUAGUAACCUACUGCAGUCAUUCAAGGAGUCUAUGGUAAAGGACAAAAGGAAAGAGAGAAAAUCAUCACCUAGUAAGGAAAAUGAGUCAAGCGACAGUGAAGAAGAAGUUUCCAGGCCUCGGAAGUCACGGAAACGUGUAGAUUCAGAUUCAGAUUCAGAUUCAGAAGACGAUAUAAAUUCAGUGAUGAAAUGUUUGCCAGAAAAUUCAGCUCCUUUAAUCGAAUUUGCAAAUGUGUCCCAGGGUAUUUUAUUACUUCUAAUGUUAAAACAACAUUUGAAGAAUCUUUGUGGAUUUUCUGAUAGUAAAAUUCAGAAGUACUCUCCAUCUGAAUCUGCAAAAGUAUAUGAUAAAGCGAUAAACCGAAAAACAGGAGUUCAUUUUCAUCCAAAACAAACACUGGACUUCCUGCGGAGUGACAUGGCUAAUUCCAAAAUCACAGAAGAGGUGAAAAGGAGUAUAGUAAAACAGUAUCUAGAUUUCAAACUUCUCAUGGAACAUCUGGACCCUGAUGAAGAAGAAGAAGAAGGGGAGGUUUCAGCUAGCACAAAUGCUCGGAACAAAGCAAUUACCUCACUGCUUGGAGGAGGCAGCCCUAAAAAUAAUACAGCAGCAGAGACAGAAGAUGAUGAAAGUGAUGGGGAGGAUAGAGGAGGAGGCACUUCAGGGGUGAGGCGGAGGAGGAGUCAACGUAUUUCGCAGCGUAUUACUCAUUGAGAAGGUCAAAACGAAAUUCAGACUCUACGGAGUUGGCAGCACAGAUGAAUGAAAGUGUUGACGUCAUGGAUGUCAUCGCUAUUUGCUGUCCAAAGUACAAAGAUCGACCACAAAUUGCAAGAGUAGUGCAGAAAACCAGCAGUGGCUUCAGUGUUCAGUGGAUGGCAGGCUCCUACAGUGGCUCCUGGACUGAGGCUAAGCGCCGUGAUGGCCGCAAACUGGUGCCUUGGGUAGACACUAUUAAAGAGUCAGACAUUAUUUACAAAAAAAUUGCUCUAACGAGUGCUAAUAAGCUGACUAAUAAAGUUGUUCAGACUUUACGAUCCCUGUAUGCCGCCAAGGAUGGGACUUCCAGCUAAUGAAUUUGUACAUGCAGCCAAAUUUACAGGAAUUUUUUUAAAAGGCAGAAAAACUUGAAAUACCAACAUUCUGGCAAAAAAAAAUCAGUUUUAUGAAGAGUAAGUGGAACCUGGGAUGCAGGAACAAAAGAAGGAAAUGUUGGGCAAACAUUUUUGUGGGAGCUCCCUUCGCUGUUGUGCAGCAGAAACAGAUUCUCAGUUCAUUUUUACUCCCACUGUAUUAUAGUUUAACAAAAAUUGUUUAUAUCUUGGAAAAAAAACUUUCUGUUUAAAAAAAAUAAACAAGUGAAUGUUGGAAAUUAGUCUGUUAAUGUUCUUAAUAAAGUGUUCUUGGAGUUUAACCUAGCAGCGGAUGGCUUUCUUUAGCUUAGCCCAGUUUCCAGGGAAGCAUUGUUUUUUCCAGGCUGUAAAAUGGCAGAAUCUCCUGGAUAUAUAAUUUAUUCUGUUGAAAAAAAAAAAGCAUGCAGUAUCUAUGACCUAUCUGCAGAAGGAGUUUUUGUAAAUGUAGAUUUUGAUGUAUUAGGUCACCCUGAAAACAAUACAAGAAAAGGGAUCCCCAGGUAAUCUGGUGGAGCGAAUACUGCAAUAAAUUUUUUUACUUCUCUUUGU
RNAcentral lists this small RNA (2947 nucleotides) under Pan troglodytes (chimpanzee). Its description in RNAcentral is "retained intron". Lineage: Eukaryota; Metazoa; Chordata; Mammalia; Primates; Hominidae. The record is from RNAcentral.